CAAUACCGCUGACGACCGGCGCACGGGUGAGUAACACGUAUCCAACCUUCCCAUAACUCGGGGAUAGCCUUUCGAAAGAAAGAUUAAUACCCGAUAGUACUUAUAUAAGGCAUCUUAAAUAAGUUAAAGAUUUAUUGGUUAUGGAUGGGGAUGCGUUCCAUUAGAUAGUUGGUGAGGUAACGGCUCACCAAGUCUUCGAUGGAUAGGGGUUCUGAGAGGAAGGUCCCCCACAUUGGUACUGAGACACGGACCAAACUCCUACGGGAGGCAGCAGUGAGGAAUAUUGGUCAAUGGGCGAGAGCCUGA
RNAcentral lists this ribosomal RNA (306 nucleotides) under uncultured Bacteroidales bacterium. RNAcentral's name for it is "bacterial SSU rRNA". It matches the Rfam family "Bacterial small subunit ribosomal RNA", at positions 80 to 386 of the family's 1533-position model. Lineage: Bacteria; Pseudomonadati; Bacteroidota; Bacteroidia; Bacteroidales. The record is from RNAcentral.